RNAcentral lists this ribosomal RNA (393 nucleotides) under uncultured bacterium. RNAcentral's name for it is "partial 16S ribosomal RNA". It matches the Rfam family "Bacterial small subunit ribosomal RNA", at positions 523 to 918 of the family's 1533-position model. The record is from RNAcentral.
AUACGGAGGAUGCAAGCGUUAUCCGGAUUUAUUGGGUUUAAAGGGUGCGUAGGCGGUUUGCUAAGCGGGAGGUGAAAUGCCGGCGCUCAACGUCGGAAGUGCCUCCCGAACUGGUGGACUUGAAUGACUCUGCCGUGGGAGGAAUGUGUAGUGUAGCGGUGAAAUGCUUAGAGAUUACACAGAACACCGAUUGCGAAGGCAACUCACGAAGGGUUGAUUGACGCUUAGGCACGAAAGCGUGGGGAUCAAACAGGAUUAGAUACCCUGGUAGUCCACGCAGUAAACGAUGAUGGCUAACCGCUGGUUUAUUCGGAUCAGUGGCCAAGCGAAAGCGAUAAGCCAUCCACCUGGGGAGUACGACCGCAAGGUUGAAACUCAAAUGAAUUGGCGGGG